UUUCUUCUUUUUAGAUGUUGUCGUUCCACCUUGCUAAUAUUUUUUUGUUUUGUUUUCUUGUGUGACAUUGAUUCGAGUCCACUUUGGAUUCCAUUCUUGCAUUCCUCGUUGAGCCAUAAAGGCUCAAAACACUUUUCCCGAGUCAGCCAACCCCUGAAAGGAUGUACAGGUCGAAAGUAAAACCAUUGGAGAGCUGCUGGAAGUGGCGGAUUGCAGGCAUUUGGCUGCGAUUUUUGUUUUGAAGCUGUGUAUCUGGUUUCUACACAAUAUAUACACUGUGAUACAGGUCAAAAAUCCACAAGAGACCCAAACUCAAAAUCUGAGUUGACGACAGGGAAGUUACGUUUCUGAAAAGGAGGUUUCAACUUCUGAAAGUUGAAAAACAGGCUUAUAUACAUCCUGUAUACACAGAUAUACAGCUAUGAUAUACUAUAUAUAUGCUCAAAAAAUAUGAUUGGCAAGGAAACGUAGAGGAACGUCUAUUCUAAUUAAAAUUCGGAAUUAGGCAAACAAUGCGGACGUAAGGUGCAGCCCGUAUACAUCAGUAUAAAUUAUCGGGCGACGAUAUACACUUGUUAAGUAAGUUUUAAAAAUGAUACAGGUACAAAUACGCAGGACAAUACAGGAAAAACAACGGGAAAUAUGUAUUUAAACAGGUGCAUGGCUCGAUAGGUCCAAAUGGUUCAAACAUAUACUGCAUACAGCAUGUAUACAUUUGUGUAUACCCUCAUGAUCUUUUUUUCAGGAAUGGGCCAGGGCCCUUAAGCAUCUUUUUAACAGGCCCAAGGGACCAAAAUAUUUUUUUUUAUGCAGGAUUUUUAAUUUGUUGAAAGGGCCCGAGUCCAUAUUUGAAAUAGAUAGGACAGGUGGGCUAAAACCCAAUGGAAUGAAUUUGGGCAAUAAGGCCCAAGUUCAAAUUAUUUCUCCUCUUUAUUUAUUACUUGCUUGAAUUAAUUAUUGUUAUGGUAGAAUUUUAAUAAUCUCCAAAGGGGUAACCAAUCUUCACUAUUUUAAAAUUUACCACUUUAUUUGCUUAUUUUGUUUUAUUUUUUCACCAUUUUCCUUAAGUUUUCUCCUUUUAAGUGUUUUCCUUUAGAAGUAAUAGGAUACAAAAAUUUAAAAAUUAAAGAAUAGAUCAAAACGAUUUCUCACUAAGUUAAAAAUUUUAAAUAUACAUUAAAGUCAUUUUAGUCAAAUCGCCGGUCAACCGCAAGUUAGCGGGCAUCCCGAGGGCUUAACACCUUCUCGGGAUGUAAAUUGAACUUCGAACCUUUUUAAUCGAUUUUAUCUGUUUUUAAAUCUUUUGAAAUUUUUCUUGAUUUUAUCAAAAUCAAGUGGCGACUCUGUGAUUUAAAAAUCAAUUUUUCUUAAACAAUAAGACUAAUUGAUUUCUCAAAAUCUAGUCAAUAUUUUUUCCAUUUUUAAACCGAAAAAUAGUUAGUAGUAUUUUUUAAAAAUAAAACAAAAUGGCGACUCCACUGGGGAUUAAUUAAGUUCUAACCAUAAGAUUUGACUGUUUGACUAACUGCUUUUAAUUGUUAAAAUAUUGUUUGUACUGAAUAUGUUUAAAUUUUUCAUAAAUUGUCAUUGCAUUCAUGGCAUAUUUCCGAUAUAUAUGUAUAGUAUAUUAAAGGACGGUUUGCGGAACCGCAGCCGGGCUUUUUUAUACUCACCUUUUUUUAAAAUUAGCGGCAAUUUAUUGGUUCGUUAGGCGUCCAAUGAUUGUCGUGAGUUUCAGCCCAAAUUGUCCGUUUGGGUUGCCGAUCCUUUCAAAGCCAUUCCUAGUCAACUAGCGUAGAGCUGAACCAAAUACCGAAUUUAGGAGCAUUUAAACUAUGAUGACCCAAUACUCAAGGCGUGUUGGGCCCAUUAGAAGACCACCUUAAGUCCAAAACAGCCCACGGCCUAAAUGGACGCUCAUACUUAUGUGUUUAAAUUUAAAGGAUGUAUACGUUGUUUGAGAAAAUCAUUGUCUCAUAAGAUAAGGAUUAGAUUAUAGUUUAUAUAAGUUAAACAAAGAUCUUUAAAAGCUACUAGUCCAUCCAAAGACGUUGGCACCCGAAGAUUGCAAAAGUCAAAAAAAAAGAAGGAUCUUUCGUGGAGGCAUAGUAUAGGGUCGUACACCUGCGUGGGACUGAUUAUUUUGUAUACCUUUCCCCUAUUAUGUAUCCCCAUUGAGUUUUAUUCAUGAAAUUUGUAUAAAUUUGAUUUUUGGAGCAACGAAAUAUUUCAAAUGACGUAUACAUCCCUCAAAUCGGUAGGCCUACCCUUGGCACUAAAGGGUCACAAAUCUGUUUAGAACGCGCAAUAUUUGUUUAUGUGUUAUAACUGCUUAUGUGAAUAUGUUGUUUUAUUUGGAGAUAUUCUAGCUCACUCUUCUUCAAAUACUUUUAGAACCACUAAGCACAAAUAUCAAGUCACUGUCAAAAGUGCGUCCAAAUACUCUUCGAGACUUUAAAAAAAAAUUGAACUUCAUUCUUCUUUAGUACUACUCUCAUAUCAGAAAAGAUUCAUCAUUUCAAAUCAAAAGAAUUUUGAGAAUUUUAUCUUUUCCAACUCUUACUAGGAAAUUAGAGUUACAUCUCAAUCAAAAAUGAAAGUACGGUAAUGAAAGAUACCGUCAACUUUGUCUCGACUCAAGUCGAUAUUUUUAAUUCACUAAUCCCAAAGUCAAGUAGACAAAUUCCUGUCUAUUUACCAUUUCUCUAUAUUGGUUUCUCUAUAUUUGUGAGUCAGUUUAUCUCCGAAUAAAGCAAUUCUUAUGUGUUUACACCUAUAUGUGAUAUCUUGUAUUAUUAACCAUCUCCAGAAACUAACAUAUUGGUCUUGAGUUUUUUUUCAUUUGUCAGGUAUUUAAAACUGAUUUGUGUUGAUAAGUUGGUUGAUCAUCCGUAUUUCACAAGGUCUAAGGCCCCUAAAGAUUCCUCCCCCGCUCAAAUUUGCAAAAAAGAAAAGACAACAAUGAGGGAUAACAAUGAUGAGAUUGACAUGAAUGAUGUUGUCGUGGCCCAACCCGCUGCCGCUGAUAAAAAUGAAUUGAUUAUGCAGUUGAUACAACAGAUUGCCGAAAUGAGGGUCGAAAUGCAAAGAAUGCAAAAUGUGUCUAAUCCAAUUUCAUCCUUCAACCCUCCAAGAGAUGGAAGACCUCUACUCCACUUUCCUCCCCCAAGCACGGAACAGGUUCAGAACCUUCUCUCUAACCCCACUCAAAAUCCUCUAACCAUUGACUUAAUUAGCCCCAAUCCCCGUCACGCCACAACAUCAUGUCAAGAACCACAUCCUCCUCAAAAUACCAACCUUCAAAUCCUACAUCUCCCUCAAAACCAAAAUACUGAUCCUCAAACUUUCCCUCAAAAUUAUCAAGCCACUCAUAAAAAACCCAGAAUCCCUCCAUUGUUCCACCCAUACCUCAAAAGACUACUUUCCAAAUCCCAACUUCAAAUGAACCUUACGUCGACUAUUCCAAGCUUGAUCACUAUAAAGAACAGGAGAGAGAGUGGAAGUCAAAAGAAGAGGCAGUCAAGCUGAAUAUGAAAGAAGAGAUCAGGAAAGCCAUGAAGGAGUUAGACUAUAUUUUCGAAGGUGGUGGAUUGAGCUAUAAGGAUUUAUGCGUCCAUCCGAAUCUCAACCUUCCAAAAGGGUUCAAAGUGCCAAAGUUUGUCACUUUUAACGGAACAGAAAAUCCCCUAGCACAUCUGAAAGUUUAUUGUGAUCAACUCGUGGGAGUUGGCAAAGACGAAGCAUUAUUGAUGCGUCUCUUCGGUCGAAGUCUAAGUGGAGAAGCUCUGGAGUGGCUUACAUCACAGGAGCUGAAACAAUGGAAAAGUUGGAAUGCACUCGCAAAGGAUUUCACAGAAAGAUUUAGACAUAACAUAGAAGACGUCCCAGAUCGCUACUACAUGGAGAAGAUCAAACAGAAGUCUACAGAAAAUUAUCGAGAGUACGCUCUUCGUUGGAGAAAAGAGGCCGCAAGAGUUCAACCUCCCAUGUCCGAACGUGAGAUCACUGAAAUGUUCAUUCGUACUCAAGAUCCUGAGUACUAUGAAAAAAUGUUGUGUAUGAUGGGACAAAAGUUUGUCGAGAUUGUCAAAGUGGGAGAAGCUUUGGAAGAUGGUUUCAAGACUGGAAAGCUCACCAAACUUACCGCAUUGCGAUCUAAUGGAAAAUCUGCUAGAAUCAAUGAUAUGGAUAAAUCAAAAGGAAAAGUGGAGGAGGUAAGUAUGAUCACGGCUACUCAUAUGAGGUCAGCUUCUCAAAGGAAAUACCAAAACCAUAAUGUCAAUCAGGAAAAAUUUUCUCGCCCAAAAUUCAGGAAGGCUCCUAAGGUAUUUACCCCAUUAAGGGAAUCUCAAACUCAACUUUAUGAAAGUUUGAAAGCAAUGGGUAUGCUCUAUCCUAUAGAAGGAAGACCAACCAAUCCUUUGGGAAAAUUUUACAGAGCUGACCACAGAUGUGCUUAUCAUUCAGGAGCCGUUGGACACGACACAGAGAAUUGUUCAACUCUGAAGCACAAGAUACAAAACAUGAUCAACAACAACUUGAUAAAUAUUGAGGAAACAUCAUGAAUGGAUGACGUAUUGGAUACUCGAGAGUGAGUACAAGACAUUUCUGAAUUAAGUCAUUUGAAGAUAUUCAUUUGAGAAGAAGAAUGCCCAACAUUGGCAAAAUUUUGCAUAUGAAGUUUUGUUACCUUUCUUUUGAAAAUGUAUCGCACAUUUCUUGUCUGAACUACGUACGACCUGAUUUCUCAAGAAUGAGAUACGUAGGCGGCCUAUGUCGGCUUCAGUCACCCCAUUUUACCCCCUUUAUCAUUUCUUUAUAACGAACUACGUCUGACCUGAAUUCUCGAGAACGAGAUACGUAGGCGGCCUUUGUCGGCUUCGGUCACCCCAUUUAUUCCCUUAAAAAUUCUACGGUUAGAACUACGUUCGACCUUACUUCUCAAGAAUGAGAUACGUAGGCGGCCUAUGUCGGCCUCGGUCGUUUCUUUAUCAAAACUUCCUAUUUUGGUUAAUCCUUGGGAGGGGGAACUAUGUUUGACCUGAUUCCUGCUCCAAUGGGAUACGUAGGCGCCACAACGGCUCGGUCAUAAUACCCAGUAAGAUUUCCAUUUCUCUUCAUAAUGGAAACCGGGACAGAAUUUUUGAGAGGAUCUCAAAAAUUCAUUUGAAGUUGGACUUAUUUAACAAGUCAAAACAGAAGACCAAAUUCUACGGAGAUUAGCCUUGGGUGGAUCUCAAAAAUUACGAUAAUCUGGUUUGCAACUGGGACAGAAUUUUGAGAUGAUCUCAAAAAUUCCACAAAUGUCAUUUGUUACUUAUUAAGGUAAAUUGGGACAAGUUUUGAGGAGGGACCUCAAAAUUCCAGUAUGAGCAACCUCAGAGUUAACAGAGCAAGUUAUAGGAGUUCUUCUAUAUUGUAGACCGGGACAAAGUUUUGGGGAGGGUCCUCAAAAUUCCAUCAAAUAUGUCAUAUAAAGAAUGGGCGAGCGUGCAAGUCAACUGCAAGAAGGAGCAUGGAGACAAAACCAACACAAAUCAGUCUUUCAAACUAAGAAUUUUAAUUUGGAUGUAGGAACAUUGAAGUCACAAAAAUGGCUAUGUAAAGUUGUCAAGAAUGACAAAAGGCGUCACUUGCACCCAUCGUGGAGUCCUCAACAAAACCUUGAAAAUCUUCCACCUUAUUUUUUCUCUAUUCCUUUAUAUUGCCUCAAGUGAUUUCUAAACAAGUUUCUUUUUAUCUUGCAGGACUAUUAUCGAGUCGUCCACCUCGUUACAGUUGGACUAUUAUCGAGCCAUCCACCUCGUUACAGUGAAACAUUAUCGAGCCGUCCACCUCGUUACAGUUGGACUAUUAUCGAGCCAUCCACCUCGUUACAGUGGAACAUUAUCGAGCCAUCCACCUCGUUACAGUUGGAACAUUAUCGAGUCAUCCACCUCGUUACAGUUGGAACAUUAUCGAGCUAUCCACCUCGUUACAGUUGGAACAUUAUCGAGCCAUCCACCUUGUUACAGUUGGAACAUUAUCGAGUCAUCCACCUCCUUACAGUUGGAACAUUAUCGAGCUAUCCACCUCGUUACAGUUGGAACAUUAUCGAGUCAUCCACCUUGUUACAGUUGGAACAUUAUCGAGCUAUUCACCUCGUUACAAUUGGAACAUUAUCGAGCCAUCCACCUCGUUACAGUUGGAACAUUAUCGAGUCAUACACCUCGUUACAGUUGGAACAUUAUCGAGCUAUCCAGCUCGUUACAGUUGGAACAUUAUCGAGCCAUCCACCUCGUCACAGUUGGAACAUUAUCGAGCCAUCUAGGCCUCGUUAAAAGUCAUGCAUCACGAAAAUCAUGCAUCGCGGAAAUCAUGCAUUGCGGAAAAUCAUGCUUCGCGAAAAUCAUGCAUCGCGAAAAUCAUGCAUUGCAGAAAUCAUGCAUUGCGAAAAAUCAUGCAUCGCGGAAAAUCAUGCAUCGCGCAAAAAUCAUGCAUUUCGAAAAAACAUGCAUCGCGAAAAUCAUGCAUCGGGGAAAAUCAUGCAUCGCAGAAAUCAUGCAUUGCGGAAAAAUAUGCAUCGCGAAAAUCAUGCAUCGUGGAAAAUUACGCAUCGCGGAAAUCAUGCAUUACGGAAAAACAUGCAUCGCAAAAAUCAUGCAUCGCGAAAAUCAUGCAUUGUGGAAAUCAUGCAUUGCGGAAAAUCAUGCAUCGCGGAAAAUCAUGCAUCGCGAAAUCAUGCAUCGUGAAUUUGAAAUUUAUACAUCGCAAGAAGACUUUAUACCUCGCUGAAAUUUAUGCUCGACGAGAAGACUUCAUGCCUCAUCAAAUUUAUAUAUCGCGAGAAGACUUUAAACCUCGCUUGAAUUUAUGCAUGACGAGAAGAUCUCAUGCCUCGUCAAAUUUAUAUAUCGCGAGAAGACUUUAUACCUCGCUUGAAUUUAUGCACGACGCGAAGAUUUCAUGCCUCGUCAAAUUUAUAUAUCGUGAGAAGGCUUUAUACCUCGCUGGAGUUAAUGCAUCACGAGAAGAAUCCAUGCCUCAUUGAAAAUCAUGCAUCGCGAAUUGGAAAUUUAUACAUCGCGAGAAGACUUUAUACCUCGCUUGAAUUUAUGCACGACGAGAAGAUUUCAUGCCUCGUCAAAUUUAUAUAUCGGGAGAAGGCUUUAUACCUCGCUGAAAUUUGUGCAUCACGAGAAAGAUCCAUGCCUCGUUUAAAAAUCAUGCAUCGCGGAAAAGUCAUGCAUUGCUAGUCAACAAUUAUGCACGACGAGAAGAAUUCAUGCCUCGUCAAAAUUUGCACAUCGCGAGAAGAUUUUAUUCCUCCCUGAAAGUUAUGCAUUGCGAGAAGAUUCAUAUCUCGCGGGAAUUUACAUAUCGCGGGAAGAUAUUCAUGCCCCGCAAGAGGACAUACACGGAAAAAGAAAGAGCAAUAUUUAUCCAUCGGCCUCAACUGCAUCUUUUAUUUUUGAUAAAAAAUAAACAUCAAGAAGAUCAUCAAAGACGAAAGUCAAAAGAAAUACCAGCAUCAUAUCAUCAUUUAUUUCUUUUAACAUCAAAUGAAGAGUACAUUGAAGAUUAUAUUGCAAAUAUCAGACGUAAGCUUUAUUUGUUGUACGUCAGACUGAUCAAGUCGACGUCGAAUACUGAUGAGAACAAUGAAGUGUCGACAUGGUAAAAAGACACUGUCUUCCACCCUAAUUGAAUUUAUUAACUAACGAGUUUUUAUCUCAGUCUUUGUCGAGAGCAUCCAAGAGGAUGAAUUCUAAAACCAAACCACAGGUGCGGAUGACAUCAACAAAGAUGCAGCACAACGUGGAACUUUUCUUAGCAGCGAACUGGGACACAUACCAAAGAGGAAUGUCAAACUCUUAGGAUGCGAGCAGAGGAGCGACUUCCACCACAAUAAAACCACACCCCUAUCUUAAGGCAUGUUGGUUUUUCUUUAGUUUUGUCAAUUUCAGUCUCGCAUCCAAAAAUUUUGAUUUACCGGAAGCAAGUUUUCAAUCUGAGUGACAAUGCGCCAAGAGCUUUGGAAAUUAUGUCCGUGUAAGUUCUUAAUUAUGGGUGUGAAACGCGCCACAUUCAUGGCUAAGAGGUUACAAGCCUCUUUUUCAUACUCGUUUAAUUUGUCACUUGUCUGAAACCGAAGGUUAUCUAGCAUAAUAGAUUUCCUUUUCAACCGAUCGAGUCGAACUACACACAGCCUGAUUCCUGAAGUUUUAAGGAUAUGUAGGCGGAUUCAAUGUUGAAAACCCGGCUGUAUUCCAACAUUCGCUCUCCAAUUUUAUUCUCGAGCAUUUUGAUACCUUCAUAAUUCGGUAUCGAGGUGGUUUUUGAAUUUUUUCAAAAUCGUGCGUUAAAUUAAGCUUAUCGAACUACAAGUGGCCUGAAUUCUCAUAUAGCCUGAGAUAUGUAGGAAACCCGUUUCAAGGGUUCGGCCAUAAUUCCUCAACCCUUUGCAAAAUCCUUCCCUUAAAGAUGAAUGAGGUUGGUCAAAAUUGGCUUGGUCAAUUUCAUUUUCCUCGAAUUGCUUGCAUCAAUCCAAGUAAAAUGAGGGACAACUGUUGACACCCAAUUUUGACCAUCUCCGAUAGAAAUUAAUUCAUGAGCUUCUUAAAUUUUCCAAGCAAUUUAAAAUAAUUAGUUUUAUAAAUUUUUAAGAAAAAAAUAAAGUUUGUGUUAUUUUGAAUAGUUUUGUCAUUUCUUAUAACUUUUGAAUAAUAUAUAUAUAUAUAUAUAUAUAUAUAUAUAUAUAUAUAUAUAUAUAUAUAUAUUACAUAAUUAUGUAUACAAUUAGUAUAUUUUAUGAUUAUUCAAAAAACCAUCUCAAAAAUAUUUUAAUUUUAGUAAGUAUUCUAUUUAGCUAAUAUAGUUUAAAUUAUGGUUAUAUUUUGAACCACUAUUUUACAAUUUAAAUAAUUAUAUUACUAAAUUAAAGAAGCUCGUUGAUUAAUUAAUACAAAUUCGUUUUAUUUAGGGUUUAGCCGAAUUUAAUAUCUUAACUCAAUUUGGUUAUUUAUCAAAUUUAACUCAUUCUUUAAAUCCACCAAAAGAUCUUAGUUUGCCACUUACACACUCUCUUUAAUUUCCAGGUUCAGCAACCCAACACUUCUCCCAAACCCCAAGCCUAAUAAAUUUCCAGCCGACCUCAUUCCCUUCAAGGCCCACUUUAUUUUCAGACACCCAGGCCCAAUUACAUAGCCCAUUCCGUUUUAAUUAAUUCCCAACCCAAUUCCCUUUUUCCCUUUCCCUCCAACCUUACCCCUUUUAAAAUUCAAAAUUCAAAAUUCAAAUUUUAAACAAAUUUCCCCCUCUUUUGGCCAUAAUUUGGCUUAUAAAUAAUCCCCAUCUUAUUCAUUGUUAGGGGGUUGGUUUAGAGAAAGAAAAAAAGAGAGAGAAAGAAGAAAAGAGGGAGAAAGAGAAAAGAAGAAAGAAGAGAGAAAGAAAGGGAUGGUUUUUGGAGAGAAUUUUUUUUUUUUACAUCUUGUGAUAGAAAUAUAAAGAAUUAUUGAAAGAGUUUAUUCAUAGGAAGAUUUUACAAUAGUUUAAGCACACCUAUAUAUAUUUAUUGAAGUUGAAUUAAAAACAGAACGAUUGCGGGGUUUUUGAUUAUCAUUUGAAUUCGAAGUUGUGUAGUGGAAGGUCAUCCCCUUGCUCGUUUCGUCUCCAGCUCGCUGCCCCGAAGAAGGUGAAAUUCUUUUUUUUUCUUUCUUCUUUUUAGAUGUUGUCAUUCCACCUUGCUAAUAUUUUUUUUGUUUUGUUUUCUUGUGUGACAUCGAUUCGAGUCCACUUUGGAUUCCAUUCUUGCAUUCCUCGUUGAGCCAUAAAGGCUCAAAACACUUUUCCCGAGUCAGACAACCCCUGAAAGGAUGUACAGGUGGCAAGCAAAACCAUUGGAGAGCUGCUGGAAGUGGCGGAUUGCAGGCAUUUGGCUGCGAUUUUUGUUUUGAAGCUGUGUAUCUGGUUUAUACACAAUAUAUACACUGUGAUACAGGUCAAACAUCCACAGGAGGCCCAAACUCAAAAUCGGAGUUGACGACAGGGAAAUUACGUUUAUGGAAAGGAGUUUUCAACUUCUGAAAGUUGAAGAACAGGCUUAAAUAUAUCCUGUAUACACAGAUAUACAGGGAUGAUAUACUAUAUAUAUGCUCAAAAAAUAUGAUUGGCAGAGGAACGUAGAGGAACACCUAUUCUAAUUAAAAUUCGGAAUUAGGCAAACAAUGCGGACGUAGGGUGCAGCCCGUAUACAUAAGUAUACAUUAUCGGGCGAUGAUAUACACUUGUUAAGUAAGUUUUAAAAAUGAUACAGGUACAAAUACGCAGGGCAAUACAGGAAAAACAACGGGAAAUAUGUAUUUAAAUAGGUGCAUGGCUCGAGAGGUCCAAAUGGGUCAAACAUAUACUGCAUACAGCAUGUAUACAUUAGUGUAUACCCUCAUGAUCUUUUUUUCAGGAAUGGGCCAGGGCCCUUCAGCAUCUUUUUGACAGGCCCAAGGGGCCAAAAUGUUUUUUUUUAUGCAGGAUUUUUAAUUUGUUGAAAGGGCCCAAGUCCAUAUUUGAAAUAGAUAGGAUAGGUGGGCUAAAACCCAAUGGAAUGAAUUUGGGCAAUAAGGUCCAAGUUCAAAUUAUUUCUCCUCUUUAUUUAUUACUUGCUUGAAUUAAUUAUUGUUAUGGUAGAAUUUUAAUAAUCUCCAAAGGGGUAGCCAAUCUUCACUAUUUUAAAAUUUACCACUUUAUUUGCUUAUUUUGUUUUAUUUUGUCACCAUUUUCCUUAAGUUUUCUCCUUUUAAGUGUUUUCCUUUAGAAGUAAUAGGAUACAAAAAUUUAAAAAUUAAAGAAUAGAUCAAAACGAUUUCUCACUAAGUUAAAAAUUUUAAAUAUACAUUAAAGUCAUUUUAGUCAAAUCGCCGGUCAACCGCAAGUUAGCGGGCAUCCCGAGGGCCUAACACCUUCUCGGGAUAUACAUUGAACUUCAAACCUUUUCAAUCGAUUUUUAUCUGUUUUUAAAUCUUUUGAAAUUUUUCUUGAUUUUAUCAAAAUCAAGUGGCGACUCUGUGAUUUAAAAAUUUUUCUUAAACAAUAAGACUAAUUGAUUUUUCGAAAUCUAGUCAAUAUUUUUUCCAUUUUUAAACCGAAAAAUAGUUAGUAGUAUUUUUUAAAAUAAAACAAAUGCUUGAUAGCUCAUAAAACAAUCUAAUAAAUCAAAAUUUUAAAUAACCCAUGACAUGGAGGAAAACACCUUACUCAAUUGGGAAUUUCUAAAUUUAUAAAUUGGAGAAUUUGGGAACACCAUGGAGGAUAGGGAUCCGUGGAUGCAAACCAUCAUACCUCAAUGCCACUUGUUUAACUUCAAUGGUGGAAUUUGGAACUUGACUCGAAAACCCUAGCUUCUCCAACUUCUAGAAAGAGAAAUAUUUGAGAGAAUGAUUUCAAUUGGGUGAAUUUUGAGGUUGAAAUACUUAUAUAGGGGUUCUUAAAGAGGGCAAAAUGACAUAGUAUUGGAUAAACUAUCGCCGUCAACAAUGGUGAUGAACCACGGUUCGUGGAUGAACCUACGAAUCGUUGUAACGACCCAAAGUACCCCGUAGAAAUCAGAGUACUCUUAGAUCGCUACAUCGUGUCGUCGACCUCUCGGAGGUCUAAGACAAGCCCGUUGACAUCUUUCAUUUUAUAAUCGUAAUAAAAAUAGCGGAAAAUUUGAAACUUAUUAUAGCACAUCAUAUGCUAGAAUCAUC
Molecule: long non-coding RNA, 11720 nt
Filed under: Solanum lycopersicum (tomato)
Lineage: Eukaryota; Viridiplantae; Streptophyta; Magnoliopsida; Solanales; Solanaceae
Description: long non-coding RNA (SLYC_LNC000943)
Source: RNAcentral